GGGGCAAGGGUAGCUUGCUACCUGACCUAGCGGCGGACGGGUGAGUAAUGCUUAGGAAUCUGCCUAUUAGUGGGGGACAACAUUCCGAAAGGAAUGCUAAUACCGUAUACGCCCUACGGGGGAAAGCAGGGGAUCUUCGGACCUUGCGCUAAUAGAUGAGCCUCAAGUCAGCAUUAGCUAGUUGGUGGGGAAAAGGCCUACCAAGGCGACGAUUCUGUAGCGGGCCUGAGAGGAUGAUCCGCCCACACUGGGACUGAGACACGGUCCCAGACUCCUACGGUAGGCAAUAAGUAGGGGAAUAUCUGGACAAUGGGCAGAAAGCCUGAUCCAGUCAUGCCGAGUGGGUGAACGACGGCCUUUCGCCUUGCAAUAGCACUCUUAUCACGAGGAGGAUGGCUAUUUGAGAUUAAGCCACUUCAGAAUACGAGGACUUUAAUCCUCAUAAUUAAACUACCGCCCUACCUCGUGCGCAUACUGCACUCGAUAAUACAGGCGGCUGC
RNAcentral lists this ribosomal RNA (500 nucleotides) under uncultured bacterium. RNAcentral describes it as "bacterial SSU rRNA". The stretch from base 1 to 339 matches the Rfam family "Bacterial small subunit ribosomal RNA", at positions 68 to 399 of the family's 1533-position model. The record is from RNAcentral.